Molecule: non-coding RNA, 1019 nt
Organism: Xyrichtys novacula (pearly razorfish)
Lineage: Eukaryota; Metazoa; Chordata; Actinopteri; Labriformes; Labridae
Source: the annotation of a GenBank genome assembly
CUCAAAGUGAAGAAAAUUUUAUUCAAAUUCUAUUUACAGUACUGUUUACAUUCCUCAAAAACACUUAAAGCAAAGCAAUGCGGCUCACAAAACUACUGUGAAAAUCACCUUACAUUCAAGGGACACCAAGACUGUUCAAAACACUGACAUUUAGACAUGGUCAUAAAGACUAGAGAGAAAAUUUAAAUGCACCUUUAGUACCUUUUAUGACAGAGACAAUAACACAAAACGAUGUUCAGUAACACAAACAAAAUUAAGAUAAUCACAAACAAGUAACUUGCUGCGGCUGAUGACAACAAAACGUGUUGCCUGUCCAAACAGAAGGUUUCAUCCGAAAACCGGAUUUUCGUUGUAUGAGGCAAGAGUGUGCCCUCCAAAAAUGACAUCUUAAAACAAAUAAUGCAGCUCAUAAAAAUUCUUAUGUGAAACUCACCUUACAUUUAAGGGAGACCAAGACUGUGCGCACUGAUAUUUAAGACAUGGUCAUAAAGACAGGAGAGAGAAAAUUUAAAUGUACCUUCAGUACCUUUAAUGACAGAGACAAUAACACAAACUGCUGUUAACUAAGAAAAAUAAAAAUUAAAGAUAAUCACAAACAGGUACCUCACUGCGGCUGAUGCCUGUCGGAAAACAGAAAGUCUUCAUGAUACCGGAUUUCUGUUUUAGGAAGCAACAGUGUGCCCUGCAUACACAGUAUACCGUCCAAAAACAAAGUAAUGCAGCUUACAAAAGUACUUGUAUGAAAAUCACCUCACAUUCAAUGUAGACCAAGGCUGCACAAAACACCUACAUUACCUUUUAUGACAGAGACAAUGACACAAAACAAUGUUCAAUAAGACAAAAAAUUAAAGAUAAUCACAAACAGGUACCUCACUGUGGCUGAUGACAACAGGUUUGUCAUCACAGGUUUCAUCCUGAUACUGGAGUUUUGUUGUAGAAGACAACAGUGUUCCCUCCAAAAAUGACAUCUUAACGUCAUUAGGCCUCAGCCCACCGAGUCACUGAGUUGUAGGAUUUGG